AUAUCAAUAAGCGGAGGAAAAGAAACCAACCGGGAUUGCCUCAGUAACGGCGAGUGAAGCGGCAAGAGCUCAAAUUUGAAAUCUGGCCCCCCCGGGGGUCCGAGUUGUAAUUUGGAGAGGAUGCUUGGGUUCGGUCCCGGUCCAAGUGCCCUGGGACGGGCCGUCGGAGAGGGUGAGAAUCCCGUCUGCGACCGGUGACUGGGCCUGGGUGAAGCUCCCUCGACGAGUCGAGUUGUUUGGGAAUGCAGCUCUAAAUGGGUGGUAAAUUUCAUCUAAAGCUAAAUAUGGGCCGGAGACCGAUAGCGCACAAGUAGAGUGAUCGAAAGAUGAAAAGCACUUUGGAAAGAGAGUCAAACAGCACGUGAAAUUGUUGAAAGGGAAGCGCUUGCGAUCAGACUCGCCCGGGGAGGUUCAGCUGGCACUUGUGCCGGUGCAUAUUCCUACCCGGGCGGGCCAGCGUCGGUUCGGACGGCCUGUCAAAGGCCCCCGGAAGGUAGCGCCCUUCGGGGCGUCUUAUAGCCGGGGGUGUCAUGCGGCCUGUCCGGACCGAGGAACGCGCCUUUGGGCUCGGACGCUGGCGUAAUGGUCGUAAGCGGCCCGUCUUGAAACACGGACCAAGGAGUCUAACAUCCACGCGAGUGUUCGGGUGUUCAAAACCCGUCCGCGCAGUGAAAGCGAACGGAGGUGGGAACCCCCUUGUGGGGUGCACCAUCGACCGAUCCUGAUGUCUUCGGAUGGAUUUGAGUAGGAGCGUGGCUGUUGGGACCCGAAAGAUGGUGAACUAUGCCUGAAUAGGGCGAAGCCAGAGGAAACUCUGGUGGAGGCUCGCAGCGGUUCUGACGUGCAAAUCGAUCGUCAAAUUUGGGUAUAGGGGCGAAAGACUAAUCGAACCAUCUGGUAGCUGGUUCCUGCCGAAGUUUCCCUCAGGAUAGCAGUAACGAGAUCAGUUUUAUGAGGUAAAGCGAAUGAUUAGAGGCCUUGGGGUUGAAACAACCUUAACCUAUUCUCAAACUUUAAAUAUGUAAGAAGCCCUUGUUGCUUUGUUGAACGUGGGCGCUGGAAUGGAUCGUUACUAGUGGGCCAUUUUUGGUAAGCAGAACUGGCGAUGCGGGAUGAACCGAACGCGAGGUUAAGGUGCCGGAAUGCACGCUCAUCAGACACCACAAAAGGUGUUAGUUCAUCUAGACAGCCCGACGGUGGCCAUGGAAGUCGGAAUCCGCUAAGGAGUGUGUAACAACUCACGGGCCGAAUGAACUAGCCCUGAAAAUGGAUGGCGCUCAAGCGUGCUACCCAUACCUCGCCGUCGGGGUAGCAACGAUGCCCCGACGAGUAGGCAGGCGUGGGGGUCGGUGACGAAGCCUUGGGAGUGAUCCUGGGUGGAACGGCCCCUAGUGCAGAUCUUGGUGGUAGUAA
RNAcentral lists this ribosomal RNA (1413 nucleotides) under Elaphomyces granulatus. RNAcentral's name for it is "eukaryotic LSU rRNA". It matches the Rfam family "Eukaryotic large subunit ribosomal RNA", at positions 40 to 1463 of the family's 3401-position model. Lineage: Eukaryota; Fungi; Ascomycota; Eurotiomycetes; Eurotiales; Elaphomycetaceae. The record is from RNAcentral.